This 468-nucleotide ribosomal RNA is filed under the name uncultured bacterium. RNAcentral describes it as "partial 16S ribosomal RNA". It matches the Rfam family "Bacterial small subunit ribosomal RNA", at positions 28 to 507 of the family's 1533-position model. The record is from RNAcentral.
GACGAACGCUGGCGGCGUGCUUAACACAUGCAAGUCGAACGGAAAGGCCCUGCUUUUGUGGGGUGCUCGAGUGGCGAACGGGUGAGUAACACGUGAGUAACCUGCCCUUGACUUUGGGAUAACUUCAGGAAACUGGGGCUAAUACCGGAUAGGAGCUCCUGCUGCAUGGUGGGGGUUGGAAAGUUUCGGCGGUUGGGGAUGGACUCGCGGCUUAUCAGCUUGUUGGUGGGGUAGUGGCUUACCAAGGCUUUGACGGGUAGCCGGCCUGAGAGGGUGACCGGCGGCAAUGGGGGUGAGAGAAGGACGGGACGCCGACGGCGGGCGGCAGGGGGGGGGAAGGCACAGUGGGGGGGGGCCGCAUGCAGCAGCGACGCGUGGGGGAGGGCGGAGGACGGGGGGUAGAGAGCUUUCGCCGGCGAAGAAGAGGGAGUGACGGGAAUUGGUAAAGAAGAAACGGCUAACUACGUG